AUGCAAGUCGAGCGGGCGUAGCAAUACGUCAGCGGCAGACGGGUGAGUAACGCGUGGGAACGUACCUUUUGGUUCGGAACAACACAGGGAAACUUGUGCUAAUACCGGAUAAGCCCUUACGGGGAAAGAUUUAUCGCCGAAAGAUCGGCCCGCGUCUGAUUAGCUAGUUGGUGAGGUAAUGGCUCACCAAGGCGACGAUCAGUAGCUGGUCUGAGAGGAUGAUCAGCCACAUUGGGACUGAGACACGGCCCAAACUCCUACGGGAGGCAGCAGUGGGGAAUAUUGGACAAUGGGGGCAACCCUGAUCCAGCCAUGCCGCGUGAGUGAUGAAGGCCCUAGGGUUGCAAAGCUCUUUUGUGCGGGAAGAUAAUGACGGUACCGCAAGAAUAAGCCCCGGCUAACUUCGUGCCAGCAGCCGCGGUAAUACGAAGGGGGCUAGCGUNGCUCGGAAUCACUGGGC
This 460-nucleotide ribosomal RNA is filed under the name uncultured bacterium. RNAcentral's name for it is "bacterial SSU rRNA". It matches the Rfam family "Bacterial small subunit ribosomal RNA", at positions 55 to 559 of the family's 1533-position model. The record is from RNAcentral.